This is a non-coding RNA of Cinara cedri, 377 nucleotides long. NCBI's taxonomy places the organism in Eukaryota, Metazoa, Arthropoda, Insecta, Hemiptera, Aphididae. The record is from the annotation of a GenBank genome assembly.
UCUUACGUUUUUUCCACUUAAGUGCUUUUAUUUAAAAAAUGGCAUCGAACAAAAAACUGACCUCUUUAAAGUACAAUCUAAGCAGCUUGAUCUUUCAGAAACAGUGCUAUACGUAAAAAUUGGAGCGAGUUUAUUAGGAUAAAACGUGUCGACAGAUUAGAAGAAAAAAAAAAAAGAAAAAAGACAUAUACAGCAUUGUAAAACCAAUAGCUUCUUCGCUACGCUCGGAAUCUAAAAUUAGUUGUGAAUAAAUAUUUUUUCAACAAUUAGUGACUUUCUUUGGCCAAUACUUCAGUCUUUUUCGUGUUAGUUGAUUUUGAUAUCGGAAUAUUACGAAACCUUUCAAUAAUUUCUUUUUUAUUUCUAAACGGUACAUU